Molecule: ribosomal RNA, 423 nt
Filed under: uncultured bacterium
Lineage: Bacteria
Description: bacterial SSU rRNA
Rfam family: Bacterial small subunit ribosomal RNA
Source: RNAcentral
UGAGGAAUAUUGGUCAAUGGGCGCAAGCCUGAACCAGCCAUCCCGCGUGCAGGAAGACGGCCCUAUGGGUUGUAAACUGCUUUUCCAGGGGGAGAAUUUUUCUGUCGUGACAGGAAUUGACGGUACCCUGGGAAUAAGCAUCGGCUAACUCCGUGCCAGCAGCCGCGGUAAUACGGAGGAUGCGAGCGUUAUCCGGAUUUAUUGGGUUUAAAGGGUGCGUAGACGGAUUGAUAAGUCAGUGGUGAAAACCUGCAGCUUAACUGUAGACUUGCCGUUGAUACUGUCAGUCUUGAGUGUGGUCAAGGUAGGCGGAAUGUGUAAUGUAGCGGUGAAAUGCUUAGAUACUACACAGAACACCGAUUGCGAAGGCAGCAUACUGGGCCAUUACUGACGCUGAUGCACGAAAGCGUGGGGAUCGAACAG